CUCAAGUGAAAGUGAAAAAAACGUCUCUUGGAGGUAAAUUAAGAGGGUUUUUUUUUUAAGCGAUCCUGGAAUCAGGUUUGUGGGUGACUGUGGCUCUCGGGUGCUCAUUUGCAGCAAAGGAGGAAAGGCAGAUGAUUGCGUAAAGGUAUGAAAACACAGCACCGGCACAGAAGAGGAAAGUACGAGAGGAAAACAACCAAAACAACCGAGGAUAGUAAAUAAUAGGGCAGAGCCGGCUGUGCAGUUCCUUGAGGACGGGAACUCUUCUGUGUUAACCAUUAAUACUACAGUGUACCAGAAUACGCCGUGCCAAAAUAUGCCAAUUUGGCAUAUGCAUAAUUGUGGGCUAAAGGCAAUUGAGAACCAGAAGAUGCAGAAAAGCUACUCCCAAAGACAACUCUUAUCACUUGAGAGACUCUUAUCUGCAUAAGAAGAUAAACCUUAUUUACCAUAUAUUUCCUCCCCUCAAUAGCCCAUAAUUUGCUUCCUCCUCCCAGAAGCUCGAAAUCCCUUUUCCUCUUUUUCACCUAAGAUGAUGAACUGCGUUGAAAACGUGUUUUUAGACUACCUAAUCCUGGUUUUUCAACCAAGCAGAGCCAUUCAGCCAACCCCACUUUUGCUAGGUUAGCAAGGUUAUUAAGAACUGAAGCAAACCUGAUCAACUGGAUUUUGAGUCCCGAGCCUAGUUGGCCAAGGAGAGUAGACAGAUGUUCCUGAUAGAGUCGAAGAAUAUGUAGGCAACUGAUCCAAUACAGAUUCAAAGUGUUGGGAUAUUGGAGUGUAAAUUGCCUCAGAUUUGUGGUCAGGAUAACACAAGUUUGAAUCUUGGUUCUCUUGUGCAGACUUUGAACAAAUCACUCAAUUUCCCUACAAUUCCUUUUCCUGUGAUUUUUGAAUGAAACACCCUAUUUCUCUCCGAUUUGACUUCUUGUAAAAAAUUGGAAUAUAAAAUUAUUGUGAAAA
Molecule: long non-coding RNA, 963 nt
Organism: Ailuropoda melanoleuca (giant panda)
Lineage: Eukaryota; Metazoa; Chordata; Mammalia; Carnivora; Ursidae
Exons: 3
Source: RefSeq, a predicted model, not a curated record